GGUAAUUUAUAUGCAACAUUUCACCAAAACUGGAAACUCCAUUGGGAGCCUAUGAAAUUUGAAUGGAGCUCUUGCACAUGUGAGGGGUUGACCCUCAACCACUGUAAGCCCUCAGGCAGUUUAAAUCCCGCAAAGGACACGACUGGCUACAAGUCGACUUUGCCUUCCAGAAGCAGACGACGUCACGGACCGUGUGCCUGUGGGCCAAGGGACUGAUUGGAGUCUCCAAUGAAUAAAUGGGAUAUGACAUCUCUUUGACGCUCUCACGAUGAGAUUCUAUCUACAAGGUGAAUUUUCAGCAUGCGGUUUGGUCAUCAGGUGAAUUCAGUCAGUCUGAAGAUAUUUUAAUCAAAAACACCAAAAGAACUGGAGCACAAGUUUCCACACAGGAGUACGACUAUUCAAGGUAGGACAUUAAUAAAUAUUGCGAGAUACCAAAGCCCUAGCCACAAAUACCUGAUUUGGACGUGGCUUGGCUUAACUUUCAUAGUAUUAGGAGCCACUUGCCUCUAUGCGACAGCUUUGAGUCCAGAUGGACGCAUGAAAAUGAGAAGCAGCCCAGGCCUGAACUCUCAGCUCACGAUCUUCUGUCUGUACUGCAGUUCCCAACAGAACAGUCAUCUUAAUGAUAACCGCAGCGCAUAGAGCGAAGCAAAUA
Acanthaster planci (crown-of-thorns starfish) is the source of this 658-nucleotide long non-coding RNA. The record is from RefSeq and is a predicted model, not a curated record. NCBI's taxonomy places the organism in Eukaryota, Metazoa, Echinodermata, Asteroidea, Valvatida, Acanthasteridae.